CAGGCGCGAAAACUUUACAAUGCGGGCAACCGCGAUAAGGGGACCUCGAGUGCCAGCAUCUUAUGUUGGCUGUCCCCAUGUAUAAAUCACAGGUGAUAGCAAGGGCCGGGCAAGACCGGUGCCAGCCGCCGCGGUAA
RNAcentral lists this ribosomal RNA (137 nucleotides) under uncultured archaeon. RNAcentral describes it as "partial 16S ribosomal RNA". It matches the Rfam family "Archaeal small subunit ribosomal RNA", at positions 336 to 473 of the family's 1478-position model. The record is from RNAcentral.